AACAAAGUUCGAUUUCGAAACGUCGUGCGCACCGUUUCGAAUUCGAACUUUGUUUU
Molecule: microRNA precursor, 56 nt
Filed under: Triops cancriformis
Lineage: Eukaryota; Metazoa; Arthropoda; Branchiopoda; Notostraca; Triopsidae
Description: microRNA tcf-mir-10345 precursor
Source: miRBase by way of RNAcentral